RNAcentral lists this transfer RNA (77 nucleotides) under Actinomycetes bacterium. RNAcentral's name for it is "tRNA-Arg". It matches the Rfam family "tRNA". From Rfam's summary of the family: Transfer RNA (tRNA) molecules are approximately 80 nucleotides in length. Their secondary structure includes four short double-helical elements and three loops (D, anti-codon, and T loops). The record is from RNAcentral. Lineage: Bacteria; Bacillati; Actinomycetota; Actinomycetes.
GUCCUCAUAGCUCAGAUGGAUAGAGCGUCUGCCUCCGGAGCAGAAGGCCGCAGGUUCGAAUCCUGUUGAGGACACCA